UAGGGAACCUUCCGCAAUGGACGAAAGUCUGACGGAGCAACGCCGCGUGAGUGAUGAAGGCUUUCGGGUCGUAAAACUCUGUUGUUAGGGAAGAACAAGUACGAGAGUAACUGCUCGUACCUUGACGGUACCUAACCAGAAAGCCACGGCUAACUACGUGCCAGCAGCCGCGGUAAUACGUAGGUGGCAAGCGUUAUCCGGAAUUAUUGGGCGUAAAGCGCGCGCAGGCGGUUUCUUAAGUCUGAUGUGAAAGCCCACGGCUCAACCGUGGAGGGUCAUUGGAAACUGGGGAACUUGAGUGCAGAAGAGAAAAGCGGAAUUCCACGUGUAGCGGUGAAAUGCGUAGAGAUGUGGAGGAACACCAGUGGCGAAGGCGGCUUUUUGGUCUGUAACUGACGCUGAGGCGCGAAAGCGUGGGGAGCAAACAGGAUUAGAUACCCUGGUAGUCCACGCCGUAAACGAUGAGUGCUAAGUGUUAGAGGGUUUCCGCCCUUUAGUGCUGCAGCUAA
This 509-nucleotide ribosomal RNA is filed under the name uncultured Bacillota bacterium. RNAcentral's name for it is "bacterial SSU rRNA". It matches the Rfam family "Bacterial small subunit ribosomal RNA", at positions 355 to 855 of the family's 1533-position model. Lineage: Bacteria; Bacillati; Bacillota. The record is from RNAcentral.